UUCUUGGAGAGUUUGAUCCUGGCUCAGGACGAACGCUGGCGGCGUGCCUAAUACAUGCAAGUCGAGCGAAUCAAUAGGAGCUUGCUCCUGUUGGUUAGCGGCGGACGGGUGAGUAACACGUGGGCAACCUGCCUGUAAGACUGGGAUAACACCGGGAAACCGGUGCUAAUACCGGAUAAUCCUUUUCCUCUCAUGAGGAAAAGCUGAAAGUCGGUUUCGGCUGACACUUACAGAUGGGCCCGCGGCGCAUUAGCUAGUUGG
RNAcentral lists this ribosomal RNA (261 nucleotides) under Bacillus sp. ISL-46. Its description in RNAcentral is "partial 16S ribosomal RNA". It matches the Rfam family "Bacterial small subunit ribosomal RNA", at positions 1 to 252 of the family's 1533-position model. The record is from RNAcentral. Lineage: Bacteria; Bacillati; Bacillota; Bacilli; Caryophanales; Bacillaceae.